RNAcentral lists this ribosomal RNA (253 nucleotides) under uncultured bacterium. Its description in RNAcentral is "partial 16S ribosomal RNA". It matches the Rfam family "Bacterial small subunit ribosomal RNA", at positions 524 to 776 of the family's 1533-position model. The record is from RNAcentral.
GACAGAGGGUGCAAACGUUGUUCGGAAUUACUGGGCAUAAAGGGCACGUAGGUGGUGCGCUAAGUCACGUGUGAAAUCCCCCGGCUCAACCGGGGAAUUGCGCGUGAUACUGGCGGACUUGAGGCGGGUAGGGGUGAGCGGAACUCCAGGUGGAGCGGUGAAAUGCGUAGAGAUCCGGAGGAACACCGAAGGCGAAGGCAGUGUCCUGGCGAGUGACUGACGCUGAGGUGCGAAAGCCAGGGGAGCGAACGGG